GACGAACGCUGGCGGCGUGCUUAACACAUGCAAGUCGAACGGAAAGGCCCAGCUUUUGUGGGGUGCUCGAGUGGCGAAGGGGUGAGUAACACGUGAGUAACCUGCCCUUGACUUGGGGAUAACUUCAGGAAACUGGGGCUAAUACCGGAUAGGAGCUCCUGCUGCAUGGUGGGGGUUGGAAAGUUUCGGCGGUUGGGGAUGGACUCGCGGCUUAUCAGCUUGUUGGUGGGGUAGUGGCUUACGAAUGCUUCGACGGGUAGCCGGCCUGAGAGGGUGACCGGCCCCAUUCGGCCUGAGGUACGGCCCAGACUCCUACGUGAGGCAGCAGCGGAGAAUAUUGCACACUGUGCCGAGGCCUGGUGCAGCAACGCCGCGUGCGGGAUGACGGCCUUCGGGUUGUAAGCCGCUUUCGCCUGUGACGAGGCGUGAGUGACGGUACUGGAUAAAGAAGCACCGGCUAACUACGU
Molecule: ribosomal RNA, 467 nt
Filed under: uncultured bacterium
Lineage: Bacteria
Description: partial 16S ribosomal RNA
Rfam family: Bacterial small subunit ribosomal RNA
Source: RNAcentral